UCUUUGCACAUUGUAAGAGUUAAUAUUUUCUCUUCUUUCAUUUUAAAGGUCAUUGCUGAUAAUUUAAUUGUUUGGUGAGAAGAAGAACUGAUCCAAAUAAUGAUACUAAAACUUAAACUUAAAUUUAUGAACCACAAAGUGGUUAGAACAAAAUUGACUUUUAACUAAAAGUUGUUGGUGUAAUGGGAAAGGAAUUUCUACAAGUAAAAUUACUUCUUUACAAAACAGACAAACCAGCUGUUGGAUUGAUAUUAGACUGCUAAGAGAUUACUUCCAUUUUGUCUAGGUAAAAUUUUGAUGAAGCCCUUCUUCUUCACCUCUGCCUCUUGUGCUCCCUGGCUUUUUUCAAGAUUCAGCCCAAGUGCCACUUUUUGCAAGAAGCAUUUCCUGGGCUCCUUCACCUGCCAGAACCUUAUCAUCAUCUGGUAUAAGCUUUUUAUGUAACUUGUAUAUAACUAGCUGUUUCCCCUAAUAAGAUAUAAGCUCUUUGAUGGAAUUAACUUUCUUUUUUGUCACUGAUUAAAGGCCAAAUGGCUAAGGA
Molecule: long non-coding RNA, 541 nt
Organism: Antechinus flavipes (yellow-footed antechinus)
Lineage: Eukaryota; Metazoa; Chordata; Mammalia; Dasyuromorphia; Dasyuridae
Exons: 2
Source: RefSeq, a predicted model, not a curated record